Molecule: long non-coding RNA, 297 nt
Organism: Melopsittacus undulatus (budgerigar)
Lineage: Eukaryota; Metazoa; Chordata; Aves; Psittaciformes; Psittaculidae
Exons: 3
Source: RefSeq, a predicted model, not a curated record
GGCUCCUGGCUAUGGUGAUGUAAGGCUUUCUCUGGAGACAAUACCAGACACCGUAAAUUUGGAAGAACCUUUUGACAUUACAUGUAAAGUAACAAAUUGCAGCAGUGAAAGGACUAUGGAUCUGGUUUUAGAAAUGUGCAAUACAAAUUCCAUCCACUGGUGUGGAGUUUCAGGAAGGCAACUUGGAAAGCUGCACCCAAGCUCAUCCCUCCAUCUUGCACUUACAUUGUUGUCUUCAGUGCAGGGUUUGCAAAGUGUCUCGGGCCUAAGACUUACAGACACAUUUUUGAAGAGAAC